Molecule: small nuclear RNA, 107 nt
Organism: Leptonychotes weddellii (Weddell seal)
Lineage: Eukaryota; Metazoa; Chordata; Mammalia; Carnivora; Phocidae
Source: RefSeq, a predicted model, not a curated record
GUGCGGGCUUCAGCGGCACAUAUACUAAAAUUGGAAUGAUACGCAGAAGGUUAGCAUGGCCCCUGCACAAGGAUGCCAUGCAAAUUCGUGAAGUGUUCCAUGUUAAA